Molecule: ribosomal RNA, 87 nt
Filed under: Streptomyces sp. SID8356
Lineage: Bacteria; Bacillati; Actinomycetota; Actinomycetes; Kitasatosporales; Streptomycetaceae
Description: partial 23S ribosomal RNA
Rfam family: Bacterial large subunit ribosomal RNA
Source: RNAcentral
GACGACUGGGUUGAUAGGCCAGAUGUGGAAGCCCUGUGAGGGGUGGAGCUGACUGGUACUAAUAGGCCGAGGGCUUGUCCUCAGUUG